UCACUCACUGCAGGCCCAAAUCCUGCAAAAGCCAAGCCACGUUCCCUGAGCAGGGAAUGCAAACUCAGACCGACAACAUUGAACUUCAAAAGAUUGCGCACAGGGGAGGAAGGGCUGGGGGUGUCAGCGUGCAGCAAGCCAGAAGGCUGCCUCGUUUAUUUUCCUCAUUUAGGAAACGUUUCGAUUAAUACCCCUUUCCCUUCCCUGAUUUCGAAAAAUAAAAAUAAAAAGCGGUCCGGAGAAUGAGAACACAGGAUGAAGAGGAAAAGGGCGCUCUCGUUCCCUCCCGGCUUCCCUCGCCGGCGUGGAGCAGCUGCCCGGGUUCUUCGUCCCCCCGGAGCGCAGCGAGGGCCGCCGGCGCCCAGGCCUGGAGAAGCUUCAGCAUCGCAACGCCUCCAGACCUCCCACUCCCCGCCCCGGCCCGGGUAAACGUCCUCGGUGACCUUUCGAGUUUUCAGUUUAAUCAGUGGUAUCACUUUGAAGAGGAAAGUCCUCUCGACGCUCCCCGCUGGCAGAGAUCCGGGCCGUGCUCCGCCCCUGCACCGCACGGGCCGGGGGCGGCCGCUGCGCUCUGGGGCAGGGCCAGCGCCGGGGCCGCGGCUGGAACGCCCUCCCGCUCCGGCAGCAGCUGCCCCGGGCCCAGGCUGACUGGACCGGGCGCCGCCCGCGGGUCCCCGACCGGUUCCCCGCAGGCUGACCUGCAUCCCGGGCCCGCGCACUGCGUGUCCCCGCGGCGGGGGCCAAGGGCGACCGGGCCUGAGCUCACCCCUCCAGGGCCCAGGGCGAGGACGCGGCGUCAGCCGAGCCGGGCUGCCUGGUCCUCUGUGGUCCCGUUUCUUGGCAGCACGUUAGGAACACUGCACCCCUGGAAGAGAACCGCAGAAUGUUAAAGUCACAGGCUCCUUGCAGGGCCUCCGCGCGAUGCCGCCCUUUUACAGAUGAGGAAACUGAGGCCCAACGAGGCAAUGACAAAGGCACCAAGCUGCGCUUCUGGGUUUCAAGAGCUGGGACCAGAUCCAGCUGGUGUUGGCAGGGUUUAGGCUGUCCUCCAGGGAGCAUUUAUCACGCAUCUGGACACUGCGCUCCAUGAACGUGUGGCAGCGAGUUACACGUAGGAGGCAGUGACUGUGGCCGCCCCGGCCUCGGGCACAGAAGCACGUGGGCCUGGGUCUGACGCCCUGCACGACUUGGUGAUGUGCCGGACUGAGUUACUGGUUGGAUGGCCUUAGUGAGGGAGUUAACCUGUUCAUGCCCUCCUUUCCUGGUCUGCAAAACAGUGGUAAAAAAACAGGCUAGGGUCCUGGCAUUUAAAUAAGAUGAGGUACAAAUUGCUUAGCACGGUCCCAGCAUAUGGAAGGCGCUCAAAUAAAUAUUCCUGUGAGGUUUUGGGAAGUAGAAAGUGGCGGGCACGUAGGCGUUCAGGAGACAAUCAUGAACCUGGUUUCCAGACAGAAGUCAUGCGGAACUUGUCAAGAGGCAAGGUGCUUUCCCACGUGCGGCACCUGGGGAGACCCGCACAGCGUUACAGAGCCUGGCUGCCUGGGAGAGGAGGAAAUGGCUCUGUUAGUCUUCCCUCCAGCUAUUCUUGCCCUGCUACCUCCCUCCAACUCUCCCUGUGACUCAUGGUGGCUGCAGAGAGACAUCCCAGACAUCCGGACCUCUUAGCAGGAGUAUAUGAACUUAGUCUACUCAAAGCAUUCGUCUGCCUAAGAAGAAAUGAAAAUUCUUCUAGAUGGCAUGCAAAGAGAGAGAAAAGGUAACACUCAGCUGCUGACAUUCAGAAGUAGAGUUUCAGAGUAAGGCAGUCGCCAUGGAAUUCAAGCUCUUACCUUGAAGAUGGAUAUUCCAUUACCUUCCUCUUCAGAGGAUUGAGGUCUGAGUUUUGGGAGAUUAUACCUCGGGGGGUUACGUAUGGGAGGCCUAGAGAGGGAGAAAGGGGGAGAGGGGAUUGUGUAAAGACAGAAGCAACAAAAUAAGACAAGAGGCUGGAAGGAAAGAUUGUGUCGGGAAAGUAUUGAGUAACCGCAUGGCAGAGGAAGACCUUAUCCCCAUACCCCCUCCAGGAUUAUGAAAGGAAGAGCCUAGUGUUGGUCUGGCAGAGGGAGACUAUUAUGGACUUGGAAGCUGUGCUAGAUCCCCAUGUAGCCCAGACUGUAUGCAGACCUAUCAGCAAGUCUGUGGCCAGCUUACUAGAGGUGACUACUGUAGCAAGGGGACUUAGUGGUGUGGGCUGCCAAGUAGACCCCUGGAACCAACUAGGAGGAAGGUCACAGCCAGAAGUCAGAGAGUCUUUAACAGCUGGAAGAACAGAGAAGAAACUAAGCCAGCCAGGGAGCACCUUUGGGAGCACGGCCUCAGGCUGCCUCAGAGGGAAUCCAAGCUCUCCAUCCACAGAUGUCCACGUCAGAGGCUGGUGGUGCACUCAAGACAGGGGAUAUGCCCAAGGACCAGUGCAAGGCCAAGUGUUCCCUUCCUCUCAACACCGUAAGGACACAUAAGCCGCACACUUCCCUGCCACUUCUAUCCAAUAUACCCUGCAGGGAUGAUGGUCAAAACAUUUAAAAAUCUCUACAAGCUCAGGUACUGAUGAGUCUGAAUGGAGAUGUCCCGCUAUGUCCAGCCUUAGCCUUUUAGUGGAUGUAUUAUGGGGGGUUUAGGGAUAAGUUCCAGGGAAGAGACAAUGGAGGGGGCUCAGAGACUUCAGGGCAGAAUCUAUUUACCAUCUGCUCCAUGUAUCUUUCAGUAUUUUACCAACCAAGUCAGCCAUCGUGGCAUGUGCCUGUUGAAUAUUGACUGUGGCUCCACACCGUGGGUCCUCCUCUUUUGGGGGAGAGUAGGAGACGAGGGGAGUCAUUUGAGAAAGAAAAACUGUCGUUCAUCACAAUAAGGGGAAGUAAACUCAUCACACCCUGGCAUCUGAGGCGCACAGUUAGUUCAGCAGGGGCUGGAGGCCUCUGCAUGAGGAAUCCCAGCUCCAACUUUGACAAGAGAGUAGGCAUGUCUCCCCCUUGACAGGAACGAUGUGUGAAAUGAACGACCUUAGGUGCUGUAUUGAUUCUUGACAGUUCUUCAGAAGAAAGCACUUCCUGCCUGUUCUGCUCAAUCCUGGUGCAGGUGAGUCACCCCAUUGCCAGCCACGCAAGUAUUUUAAGAAACAGGAAAUCUAAGCUGAAACCAGCAGAGAAAGAUGAGGGAUGGAUUAUCGCCAUUAGCUUUGAUGGUGUCUUGUUGUCAUGGUGCUAGGAAAAUCACUAUCAUUUAGAGUCCCACUCACCAGCUGUUUUGCUAGAAUUUUUGCCAUGGGAGGCUGGUGGCCACCCAACACAGGCGUGGGACACCGGUGUGCACACAUGCAUGCACCUCCAUCAGGCUCCCACUCUAGAGGGCUCACGUUGGGUGUCUGGGUCGUGGUUGACAGACUGUACCAUAUGUAUCACGACCCCAUUUCCCUGGAUCAGCUUGCAGGGAGCCAGCAUGAAUCUGCCAGUCACCCACCUCAUGUGACAUCCCUGGAAACUUUGGAACAGAGUCAGUGACUGCAUGAAGCCACCUCGCUCUCUGCUCCCAGCUUCAGCGUUUGGCUCUGAGAAAUGCCAGUGUUGCCCGUCUCUUGAACAUUGUUUCAAAGUUCAGGUCUUCUGUCAUUCUGGGGGCAGAGGGGACUUCGAGGUCUGCCAGGAGUUGGGGGGUGGGAGUCGAGGAAUGCUGCCCAAGAGCAAUGACUAGAACCCGCUGGUGGGCUGCAUCCCACAGCUGGCAUUGCUGGGAAGACAACCUCCUGCAUCUCCACGACAGAGCUCCCUGUAUGCGCCCUGAAGGGGGGGAGCUACGGGCGCCAGCUCUAAAUGGGAAAGCAGGUUGUCCGCUUUCCCAGACGGUCACGGUCCCCUAGGGAGAAGCCAUCAGACUGCAUGGGGCCCCCAGACCUCAUAUCGGGCUGCCUCCCUCGCACCCCUCCCCUGCUCUUCUCUCAGCUGCCCUUACCUGGGGGACUGCAACGGUGGAGGGGGUAUAAACUGGGGGGCUACUUUUCUAUCUAGCAUUUCCUGAGUCCCCUUAAUUAAACCUUUAUAUGAAGUGAAAAACAAACAAGCUCCAUUCCCGGCCACUGUGUCCGCUCCCCCAGAUUCUGACUCAAGGGCUAGGAGCACACUUGCAUUCAAGUAAGUCAAUUUGCAGGUGUUCCCGGACCAUGGUUUAGAAAACACUGGGGCAGAAACAAGGCAGCAAGCACGUGGGAUACAGCUGGUGUGAGCAGUAAUUCAUCUAGCUUCUGAAAAUGUUAUCAGGGGCUGGCUUGUGCCCCCCCAAAUCCAUAUGCUCUAACUCUCAGUACCUCAGAAUGUGACAUACGUGGACAUAAAGCCUUUAAAGGGGUCAUUAAGUUAAAUGAGGUGAUUGGGGUGGACCCCAAUCCAGUGUAGCUGGUGUCCUUAGAGGAAGAACAUAUUAAGAUGCAAACGUAUAUGAAGGGAAGAAUGCGUGAAUCCAGAGGGAGAAGACGGCCAGCUGAAAGCCCAAGAGAGGCUUCAGGGGAAAAGCAGCCCUGCGGACGGUGUGAUCACAGACUUCCAGCCUCCAGAACUGAGGGAAAGUGAAUUUCUGCUACUUAAGCUGCCCAGUCUGUGAUAUUUUAUAUGGUAGCCUGGGGUGACUCAUAAGAACAGAAGCCUGAUGUCACUUAGUAGGGAUCUCAGAGGGUCGCAUUGAUUCAGCAUAGUCUGUAAACAAAGCUGGUUUAUGAACCGAAGGACAGCAGCUCCAGACCUGGAAGGGCAGAGGCUAUGGGAUGUGCACGGCAGCACAGCUUCUGCGGUCAGACGUCCCUGUGUUCAAAGACCAGAACUUUCUUCCCUGGCUCACAACCUGGAGGACUUUAGACCAGAUAGCUAUUACUACUUUAUUUGACAAAUAUGUAUAUAGUACUUAUUAUGUGCCAGAAUAUUCUAAGCACUGAAAAAAUAUCAGCUCCUGGGGCAGCGCCUGUGGCUCAAGGGAGUAGGGUGCCAGCACCAUAUGCUGGAGGUGGCGGGUUCAAACCCAGCCCCGGCCAAAAACUGGAAAAAAAAAAAAUUAGC
This is an RNA transcript of Nycticebus coucang (slow loris), 5078 nucleotides long. It is a transcript of the gene named nematocyst expressed protein 3-like, with no coding region annotated. The record is from RefSeq and is a predicted model, not a curated record. The transcript has 4 exons. NCBI's taxonomy places the organism in Eukaryota, Metazoa, Chordata, Mammalia, Primates, Lorisidae.